Molecule: ribosomal RNA, 458 nt
Filed under: Streptococcus anginosus
Lineage: Bacteria; Bacillati; Bacillota; Bacilli; Lactobacillales; Streptococcaceae
Description: bacterial SSU rRNA
Rfam family: Bacterial small subunit ribosomal RNA
Source: RNAcentral
GACGAACGCUGGCGGCGUGCCUAAUACAUGCAAGUAGGACGCACAGUUUAUACCGUAGCUUGCUACACCAUAGACUGUGAGUUGCGAACGGGUGAGUAACGCGUAGGUAACCUGCCUAUUAGAGGGGGAUAACUAUUGGAAACGAUAGCUAAUACCGCAUAACAGUAUGUAACACAUGUUAGAUGCUUGAAAGAUGCAAUUGCAUCGCUAGUAGAUGGACCUGCGUUGUAUUAGCUAGUAGGUAGGGUAAUGGCCUACCUAGGCGACGAUACAUAGCCGACCUGAGAGGGUGAUCGGCCACACUGGGACUGAGACACGGCCCAGACUCCUACGGGAGGCAGCAGUAGGGAAUCUUCGGCAAUGGGGGGAACCCUGACCGAGCAACGCCGCGUGAGUGAAGAAGGUUUUCGGAUCGUAAAGCUCUGUUGUUAAGGAAGAAACGAGUGUGAGAAAUGGAA